AUUGAACGCUGGCGGCAUGCCUUACACAUGCAAGUCGAACGGUAACGGGCCUUCGGGUGCCGACGAGUGGCGAACGGGUGAGUAAUGCAUCGGAACGUACCUUUCAGUGGGGGAUAACGUAGCGAAAGUUACGCUAAUACCGCAUAUUCUGUGAGCAGGAAAGCAGGGGAUCGCAAGACCUUGCGCUGAUUGAGCGGCCGAUGUCAGAUUAGCUAGUUGGUGAGGUAAAGGCUCACCAAGGCGACGAUCUGUAGCGGGUCUGAGAGGAUGAUCCGCCACACUGGAACUGAGACACGGUCCAGACUCCUACGGGAGGCAGCAGUGGGGAAUUUUGGACAAUGGGGGCAACCCUGAUGCAGCGACGCCGCGUGGGGGAUGACGGCCUUCGGUUGUAACCGUCUUUCUAGCAGGACGAAGGGUGACUGACGGUACUCGUAGAAGAAGCACCGGCCAACUACGUCGCCAGCAGCCGCGGUAACGAUAGCGUACU
RNAcentral lists this ribosomal RNA (490 nucleotides) under uncultured bacterium. RNAcentral's name for it is "bacterial SSU rRNA". It matches the Rfam family "Bacterial small subunit ribosomal RNA", at positions 30 to 536 of the family's 1533-position model. The record is from RNAcentral.